GCUUUAUCAACUGUCGUUUUCUUGUUUUCUUAUACAUGGGAGAUUCUUACUCAUUGUCUCUGGGAAUCCUCAUGUUUCUUCUGGUUAUUUUAUACGGCUUCAUGACGCACAUCCUUAUAUAUAUUUUCUUUUGAAUCUUCUCUAACAUGCCCUAUUCUUGCCUAUAGAUCACGAUAGUAUUCUACGUACAUAUUUUGAGGGGCUUUUAUUAUGUUCACUCUGGGAGAGCUUUCUCUCCUCAGGGUACAGGAGACCUGUGAACCCCUGAGUGCAGGGGAGUGCCUGCACUCAGUAGCUUGCUGCUCACAUCGGUUGCUGAAAUGCCUUAGUCUUGCCUCAGUUAUUCCCUUUAAAUAGAUGCCAGGUCGAAUAGGUGUUGUGACCUCUUAGGUUGUUUUCUUAAGUAACUGAGUGACAGGAGAGGUCAUUUAUCUGCUUAUAAGAACACAUUGCUUUCUAAGUGAGGAGGGGCCAGCUUCUGACAAAGCGCCAUUAGAAGAGUCCUCCACUGUCCUUGUUAGGUUACAGUGCUUAUCAGUUUCUCUCCUUUACAGGGCCUAAUCCGAUGAGUGACCUGUUUUGGGAAGCAAACAUUUUUAAAGAAACCCUACUUGAAAGUUAAAGACUACAAUUGCAUGUCAGAAUAUAGACUACUGCUACCAAGUGUGAUUGUUCUCCUGAACGCUCUGCUUUUGUGACAGUUAAUGGAAUUUAAAAAGGAAAAGUAAACGUAUCUAUAACCUAACUUUCGGAAUGGAAAGGAAUGGAUUGGAAUGGAAUCCUAACUACAUCAUGUGUCUCAGAAUUAAGUCCAUUGUUCUUAACCUGUUAUUCUUCAGCGACCUCACAGAACUGAAAGCUACCUAAAACUGAAAGUAAGAUUUUGUGAGGUUUUUUUUUUUUUCUGUGUUAUAUAUAUGCAUAUAUAUUCUGGGGAAAGACUAUCAAAAGACCCCGGAGACAGCAGCCAGCAUUCCUGGCAGCUAGUCUGGUAUGUUCAGCAGAGAUGCCCUGCAACUUCUGGUACAACUUCUGGUCUCAGCUUCACCGAAGACCGUGAAGAGCAGAUCUGUGUUCAGCAGGAGACUGUGACAUAUGCAGAUUUAACACAUUCUCCUGCACUCAUAUAAUAAGUUGAAAGAUUUAACUUCAGAAAACCAACAUCAUGAAGAGAAAUUGGAAAGAGAUUUUACAUACACAACACAGCUGAUGAAAGACCACAUGUUAUGUAACCUAACCUCUUGACUAAGUGCCAGGAGCUGGAGUUCUCUGGGUCUGCAACAACGUAUUAAAAGCCUCUAAAACUUGAAAAUGCUAAUAAGAAUGAUACAAUAAAAGAUACAUAAAUAAAGGGAGUGUCUGUUAAAUUCAUAACUUUAAUGCAAUCUGAAGUGCCUUGGAAUCAUUAGCCUAAAACACUAAAAACAGCUUUUAGAAAUAAUUUAAAUACUAAAUAAUAUUUAUCCAAGCUGACAACAUGUUGUAGACAUAGCUUGUAGAUCACAGUGUUAAUAGGCAAAUUAAAAAUCAAUAUUUUAAUCCAUCAGCGUGUUGAAAAGAUUUGAUAAAAUCACUUUUUUUUAUUUUUAUCUCCUGACUCUUUUUGGAAACUAAGUUGAUCAUCUACACAUCAAACAGAAUAUCUUUGUGACCCAGCAAUAGGAAUAAUAAUGAAUUUCAUUCAUCUUAAUUUUUAUAUAAUCUCCAUGGAGAAGACGGGCUGGCAAAUAAUUUGAAUGAGCUGCCAUAGUUUUUACUUAUUAUGAAAAUUUAUUACAUUGUUCUCACAGAUGUAAAUGGGGUUUAAAUUCAAUGCUUCUUAUCUUAAAUCUGUUAUGUCCAUUUCAAGUCCUAUUUCAUUACAUUUACCCCUUUCUUUACUUUGUUUUCUAUAAAGUCCUUGUCUAGACUCUGGCUAACUAAUACAUUUAGAUUAAUGAAAUGUCCUUCUGCUAGUUCUCUGAUUUCUAGCUUCAAGCCUUUCUGACUUUGGCUAAUCCUACUCUUAUGAGUGACCUAUUCCAGGAGUUUUAAGUGAUCACAAAAGGUUCUAUUUUGUUCCUUUUGACUUAACAUUUUACUCCAAGAACAUCCAUACCCUUAUCUUUUUUCUGGCCAAGACAUUCCAUUAAAAAUACAAACAAAACUCAUUCAUUUAUUCCUCAUUUUUUUCUGCGUGAUUCCAUUCUAUGUGAUCCUCACACACAGAAUUAUACCCAUAGCCUACCCUAUGUUUUGCGUAAUCCAUGUCCUAACGCACGUGAUCCUCACACAUAGAAUUAUACCCAUAGCCUACCCUAUGUUUUGUGUAAUCCGUGUGCUAACACACGUGAUCCUCACACAUAGAAUUAUACCCAUAGCCUGCCCUAUGUUUUGUGUAAUCUGUGUCUUAACACAUGUGAUCCUUUACACAUAGAAUUAUACCCAUAGCCUGACCUAUAUUUUGCGUAUUCCGUGUCCUAACACAAUUGCCCCCAAACAGGCACGAUGGAGCGUGGGGGUUUUCUUCAUUGAGGAGAACUUAAUGAGUUAAUGUGGCAUCAUUCAAAACCACUUAGCUACAGUAAUGUCUUCUCACAGAUUCUAUCUCUAUGUCUUCACACUUCCUAUAGACUUAAAUUCAUGCAUUUUCUGAAAUCGACAUGGCCAUUGUAUUCCCUCUUGGGUUUCCUUAACCUUGUAUCUAAAUUCUUACUUCACUUGGAUCCUUGACGAUAUGAAUCUGUGAGAUAAAUGUCAUAGAACCCACCAACACCAUGUGCUCAGCAGUCACCAGAGAACAGGUUCAUUAUAUCAUUUUUGCUUUAAGAGCUUCAGCAAUUUCCAUGAAGACCCGUGAAGAGGCCUUUUGUUGAAAACAAUUUCAAGUAAUUCUCCAAAGAUCCUGCCUAAGUACACAGACUCCAAGGACAGGGAGAUUGAAGUUUUGUUCCCAGUUUUGUUAUGUAAUAGCUCUGUAAUCUUAAAACAUUUCUUAAAUAUCCUAACCUCAGUUUCCUUAUCUGUAAAAUGCUUCAUAUGAAGUUUGUGUCUCACAUGGUUGUUUUGAAUAUAAUAGUGAAUAUCGAGCUCAUAACACUGCCUGGCAUAUUAUAAAUUCUCAAUGCUAUGUGUUUAAGAGUCAUUUAAAAUGUAAUUAUUAUUUGUAGCUGAAAAUAAUAGUAGAGUGAGGUAGUAUGAUAUGGUAGAACUGAUCUAGAAGACCUGAGUCCGACUCUUGUUUCGUAUAAUUCAGAGAAGCAGGUCUUUGGGUAAACCACUUAACUUCACUUGUAAAAUGAAAGUAUUAAUGAAUGCAUCACAGGGUCCCUGUAACAAUGAAAUGAGCUCCUGGGUAGAAAAGUGCUUCAUAAACGGGUAUGUGUUACAUAAAUGUUAAUUAUUGAAAUAUGGAGUCAUUACUAACCUUAUAAGAAAACAAGCAAAUGCAUUUUACGUGUAAUUUUUACUCAAUUAUCCUUUAAGUUUAGUCACAAUUAGUAGAAAUUGUCCCUAAUAAUAAAAGUAAAGAAAGGAAAGCAUACAUACUGACAAGGGUUAUUGAUUUCAGAAGAAAGGCUUUCAUUUUUUUUGAUAUUUUGCUACCAUUGACUUGUGAUAUGGGUAAUUUUCUAAAUUACUAUACUUCAGUGAAGUUAUAAUUGUCUAACUUACUUUAUGAUUUAUGAGUCAUUAUAGAAAGGCUCAUGAUUUUUAAACUCACUGUGAAAUAUUCAUAGAAGGCGUUCCUUCUCUAUUCUGGUACUGCAAAAAAAAAAGUCUGUGUAAUGCCUUUGUCAUGUUGUGAUAAACAUUAAAAAAAUACAAGCUGAUUUUUCCCAAUAUUAUCACAUUACAAUUUCUUUAACUUUUAUGGGUGUUCUUUUUGUUUCUGGAAACAAAUGCCACAUUGCUGAAAAGCCUCUAAGUUUAUUUUGGCAAAGCCUUUUCUUUAUCAAUAAAAAAAACUGAGGAUAGAAAUAUUUCAUGUUUAUCCACACCAAAAUAUAGAAAUUAUUGAUAUCAUAAUGUAAAUAAUAAGACCGUACAUUGACUAAUUUUUUAAUAGCUAUUUUAUAGUCCUCAAAUUAAGAAUGUACAAUGUUGAAGAGAUUGAAAAAUGAUUUGCUGUAGUGGAUGACAUGUGGGAUGAUGUUAAAUGGAUUGCUGAGGCCACAUGAGUUCAUGCACACAUACUCCGUGGGCAACUGCGGUGAAAUCACCAUAGACUGGCCAUUCACUUACAAUAUGUGGCCAUUCUUAGUAAUUUAUAUUUGUUGGUGGUUAAUAUCUGUUUCAGAAAGCUAGAAAAGGAAUUUUGUGUGUGUGUAUGCACUAAAGCUUUUCCCCAGAUCAUAUGUGCAUAUACAUCUAUAUAAAAUGGA
This 4364-nucleotide long non-coding RNA is filed under the name Papio anubis (olive baboon). RNAcentral's name for it is "lncRNA (ENSPANG00000048917.1)". Lineage: Eukaryota; Metazoa; Chordata; Mammalia; Primates; Cercopithecidae. The record is from RNAcentral.